GUGGGGAAUAUUGGACAAUGGGGGGAACCCUGAUCCAGCCAUGCCGCGUGUGUGAAGAAGGCCUUUUGGUUGUAAAGCACUUUAAGCGAGGAGGAGGCUACCGAGAUUAAUACUCUUGGAUAGUGGACGUUACUCGCAGAAUAAGCACCGGCUAACUCUGUGCCAGCAGCCGCAGUAAUACAGAGGGUGCGAGCGUUAAUCGGAUUUACUGGGCGUAAAGCGCGCGUAGGUGGUUAAUUAAGUCAAAUGUGAAAUCCCCGAGCUUAACUUGGGAAUUGCAUUCGAUACUGGUUAGCUAGAGUAUGGGAGAGGAUGGUAGAAUUCCAGGUGUAGCGGUGAAAUGCGUAGAGAUCUGGAGGAAUACCGAUGGCGAAGGCAGCCAUCUGGCCUAAUACUGACACUGAGGUGCGAAAGCAUGGGGAGCAAACAGGAUUAGAAACCCUUGUAGUCC
This 451-nucleotide ribosomal RNA is filed under the name uncultured bacterium. RNAcentral describes it as "bacterial SSU rRNA". It matches the Rfam family "Bacterial small subunit ribosomal RNA", at positions 354 to 796 of the family's 1533-position model. The record is from RNAcentral.